RNAcentral lists this ribosomal RNA (429 nucleotides) under Pseudomonadota bacterium. RNAcentral's name for it is "Proteobacteria bacterium partial 16S ribosomal RNA". It matches the Rfam family "Bacterial small subunit ribosomal RNA", at positions 355 to 776 of the family's 1533-position model. Lineage: Bacteria; Pseudomonadati; Pseudomonadota. The record is from RNAcentral.
UGGGGAAUAUUGGACAAUGGGCGAAAGCCUGAUCCAGCCAUGCCGCGUGUGUGAAGAAGGUCUUCGGAUUGUAAAGCACUUUAAGUUGGGAGGAAGGGCAGUAAGCGAAUACCUUGCUGUUUUGACGUUACCGACAGAAUAAGCAACGGCUAACUCUGUGCCAGCAGCCGCGGUAAUACAGAGGGUGCAAGCGUUAAUCGGAAUUACUGGGCGUAAAGCGCGCGUAGGUGGUUCGUUAAGUUGAAUGUGAAAGCCCCGGGCUCAACCUGGGAACUGCAUCCAAAACUGGCGAGCUAGAGUACGGCAGAGGGUGGUGGAAUUUCCUGUGUAGCGGUGAAAUGCGUAGAUAUAGGAAGGAACACCAGUGGCGAAGGCGACCACCUGGGCUCAUACUGACACUGAGGUGCGAAAGCGUGGGGAGCAAACAGG